CGCGGUGAACUUAAGCCCCAGUAAACGGCGGUGGUAACUAUAACCAUCCUAAGGUAGCGAAAUUCCUUGUCGGGUAAGUUCCGACCCGCACGAAAGGCGUAAUGAUUUGGAUACUGUCUCAGAGAGGGGCUCGGUGAAAUAGACUUGUCUGUGAAGAUGCGGACUACCUGCACCAGGACAGAAAGACCCUAUGAAGCUUUACUGUAGCUUGAAAUUGAAAUUGGACUUUAUUCGCGCAGCAUAGGUGGGAAGCUUUGACGAUAAUCUUGCGGGAAUAUCUGAGCUAUCAGUGAGAUACCACUCUUGUAAUGUUAGAUUUCUAACUA
RNAcentral lists this ribosomal RNA (326 nucleotides) under Leptocylindrus danicus. RNAcentral's name for it is "partial Bacterial large subunit ribosomal RNA". It matches the Rfam family "Bacterial large subunit ribosomal RNA", at positions 1903 to 2228 of the family's 2925-position model. The record is from RNAcentral. Lineage: Eukaryota; Bacillariophyta; Leptocylindrophyceae; Leptocylindrales; Leptocylindraceae.